Molecule: ribosomal RNA, 508 nt
Filed under: uncultured bacterium
Lineage: Bacteria
Description: partial 16S ribosomal RNA
Rfam family: Bacterial small subunit ribosomal RNA
Source: RNAcentral
GAUGAACGCUAGCUACAGGCUUAACACAUGCAAGUCGAGGGGAAACGACAUCGAAAGCUUGCUCUUGAUGGGCGUCGACUGGCGCACGGGUGAGUAACGCGUAUCCAACCUGCCCACCACUUGGGGGUAACCUUGCGAAAGUAAGACUAAUACCCAAUGAUAUCUCUAGAAGACAUCUGAAAGAGAUUAAAGAUUUAUCGGUGAUGGAUGGGGAUGCGUCUGAUUAGCUUGUUGGCGGGGUAACGGCCCACCAAGGCUACGAUCAGUAGGGGUUCUGAGAGGAAGGUCCCCCACAUUGGAACUGAGACACGGUCCAAACUCCUACGGGAGGCAGCAGUGAGGAAUAUUGGUCAAUGGACGAGAGUCUGAACCAGCCAAGUAGCGUGCAGGAUGACGGCCCUAUGGGUUGUAAACUGCUUUUAUAAGGGAAUAAAGUGAGUCUCGUGAGACUUUUUGCAUGUACCUUAUGAAUAAGGACCGGCUAAUUCCGUGCCAGCCGCCGCCGUAA